UCCGUAGUGAACCUGCGGAAGGAUCAUUACCGAGUGUAGGGUUCCUAGCGAGCCCAACCUCCCACCCGUGUUUACUGUAACCUUAGUUGCUUCGGCGGGCCCGCCGUUUACGGCCGCCGGGGGGCAUCAGCCCCCGGGCCCGCGCCCGCCGGAGACACCACGAACUCUGUCUGAUCUAGUGAAGUCUGAGUUGAUUGUAUCGCAAUCAGUUAAAACUUUCAACAAUGGAUCUCUUGGUUCCGGCAUCGAUGAAGAACGCAGCGAAAUGCGAUAACUAGUGUGAAUUGCAGAAUUCCGUGAAUCAUCGAGUCUUUGAACGCACAUUGCGCCCCCUGGUAUUCCGGGGGGCAUGCCUGUCCGAGCGUCAUUGCUGCCCAUCAAGCACGGCUUGUGUGUUGGGUCGUCGUCCCCUCUCCGGGGGGGACGGGCCCCAAAGGCAGCGGCGGCACCGCGUCCGAUCCUCGAGCGUAUGGGGCUUUGUCACCCGCUCUGUAGGCCCGGCCGGCGCUUGCCGAACGCAAAACAACCAUUCUUUCCAGGUUGACCUCGGAUCAGGUAGGGAUACCCGCUGAACUUAAGCAUAUCAAUAAGCGGAGGA
Molecule: ribosomal RNA, 598 nt
Filed under: Aspergillus pseudotamarii
Lineage: Eukaryota; Fungi; Ascomycota; Eurotiomycetes; Eurotiales; Aspergillaceae
Description: eukaryotic LSU rRNA
Rfam family: 5.8S ribosomal RNA (bases 214-367)
Source: RNAcentral